UACGAAGGGGGCUAGCGUUGCUCGGAAUUACUGGGCGUAAAGGGCGCGUAGGCGGGUAUUUAAGUCAGAGGUCAAAUCCCAGGGCUCAACCCUGGAACUGCCUUUGAUACUGGGUACCUAGAGUUCGGGAGAGGUGUGUGGAACUCCGAGUGUAGAGGUGAAAUUCGUAGAUAUUCGGAAGAACACCAGUGGCGAAGGCGACACACUGGCCCGAUACUGACGCUGAGGCGCGAAAGCGUGGGGAGCAAAC
Molecule: ribosomal RNA, 250 nt
Filed under: uncultured bacterium
Lineage: Bacteria
Description: partial 16S ribosomal RNA
Rfam family: Bacterial small subunit ribosomal RNA
Source: RNAcentral